UACAGAGGUCCCGAGCGUUGUUCGGAUUCACUGGGCGUAAAGGGUGCGUAGGUGGUGGGGUAAGUCUGGUGUGAAAGCUCGCAGCUCAACUGCGAAACGGCACUGGAAACUACCCUGCUGGAGGGUUGGAGGGGGGACUGGAAUACUUGGUGUAGAGGUGAAAUUCGUAGAUAUCAAGCGGAACACCGGUGGCGAAGGCGGCCUUCUGGACAGUGACUGACGCUGAGACGCGAAAGCGUGGGGAGCAAACAGG
This 253-nucleotide ribosomal RNA is filed under the name uncultured bacterium. RNAcentral's name for it is "partial 16S ribosomal RNA". It matches the Rfam family "Bacterial small subunit ribosomal RNA", at positions 524 to 776 of the family's 1533-position model. The record is from RNAcentral.